This 405-nucleotide unclassified non-coding RNA is filed under the name soil metagenome. RNAcentral's name for it is "partial contains 5.8S ribosomal RNA, internal transcribed spacer 2, and large subunit ribosomal RNA". The stretch from base 1 to 121 matches the Rfam family "5.8S ribosomal RNA", at positions 35 to 154 of the family's 154-position model. The record is from RNAcentral.
GAUGAAGAAAGUAGCGAAAUGCGAUAAGUAAUGUGAAUUGCAGAAUUCAGUGAAUCAUCGAAUCUUUGAACGCACCUUGCGCCCUUUGGACAUUCCGAAGGGCAUGCCUGUUUGAGUAUCAUGAACACCUCAACUCUCACGGCUUGUCCGUGAUGAGCUUGGACUUUGGGGGUCUUGCCGGCCUGUGGUCGGCUCCUCUCAAAUGGAUCAGCUUGCCAGUGUUUGGUUGCAUCACAGGUGUGAUAACUAUCUGCGCUUGUGGUUUUCCAUCAGAUAACCUUCAGUGAUAUGGAGGUUCGCUGGAGCUCACAAAUGUCUCUCCUUAGUGAGGACAGCUCUUUGAACGUUUGAUCUCAAAUCAGGUAGGACUACCCGCUGAACUUAAGCAUAUCAAUAAGCGGAGGA